UAGCUUGUGUCAAGUCAUAAAAAUAAUCACCAACGUGGUUUUGCCAGGGUGAGGUUUAUCCAUUGCACUCUGGAUGUGCUGACCUCUGCAACUUCCCCAAAUGUGGGAACAAUUGACUGCAUAAUUUGUGGUAAUGGGGGUCUUCAUGCUCUCC
This 154-nucleotide small nuclear RNA is filed under the name Meriones unguiculatus (Mongolian gerbil). RNAcentral describes it as "U1 spliceosomal RNA (ENSMUGG00000021595.1)". It matches the Rfam family "U1 spliceosomal RNA". From Rfam's summary of the family: U1 is a small nuclear RNA (snRNA) component of the spliceosome (involved in pre-mRNA splicing). Its 5' end forms complementary base pairs with the 5' splice junction, thus defining the 5' donor site of an intron. The record is from RNAcentral. Lineage: Eukaryota; Metazoa; Chordata; Mammalia; Rodentia; Muridae.